GUUCUAACGUAACUGCUCUACAACACUGAUAGGGUGAGAGCCAUCAGCUGGAGAAGAGGACACACCAAACAUCGUCCAUUGAGAUUCUGGAUCAUGCUUUGCGUCAUAUACGACAGAGGGGAAAAAAUACCGACCAAAACCAAGCUGGAUUGGCUUUUACCCACACAAGGAGGGACUGGGAGAGACACUUUCGAUAUUUUGGAUGUCUGAAGACACAAUGAAUCACUGCACUGAAUAAACCACAUCAUGCUCGAAUGGAUUUAUGUUUUGACCGGGCCGGGGUGUGUUUGUAUGGUGAUUGUUUUGCAGUGGUGUAAAUACUUUUCAGCAGCAGCUUAUCAUCUCUUGAUCUACGAGCUAAGCCAGAAUGGGAUAACUUCGAUGCCAACACUUGAAUGGAAACGUCAACAUCACCUCUGUGGGAGUUUUACUAUUGUGCGAAUGAUAAUUCAUAACCUCUCUCUGUUUAGGAUAAUGAUUUACACAUGUUGCUUUCAACUAAUUUCUUGACCUCGAUGGAGUAGAAUCCAACACGAUAUAUCUGGUAGUAUAGAAUUGGGACACAGCAGAUUCAGGAGAACAAUUGAUAGCUAUAUUGGAAUCAUCACCUAUCUGCAGAAAAGUGACAAUGCCUAACCAUGGCUAAUCUGAGAGCCUGGAACCAGUGUGUGCUCUGUCCUCACCAAACCUUUAAGAGCAAUCAAAGCUGUGCUGUUGUGUAUCCUAAACAUAACGUAAAGGUUCACUGUAUAAUACUAGACUUGGUUUCCUUCACUUUUGCGCACUGGUCUUUUUUUUCUUUUUGACUUGCUUCUCUUUUACUCCCUGCUAACGUCCACUAUGCCGCUUUUGUAUCAGUAGUCAAUAUAUCAAUGUUUUUGUUUAUAUUUCAAAUUUGAUUAAAGUAUGCGCGUCAUGGAAAUGUGUCUCCGUAUCUCUCAGCCAUACCUCACAACAAACACGAUUAUGAUCCUAAACGGUUUUCAAGGUUAGUCACACUAAACAUGACAUGAAAUCACUUCAAUGACAUGGAUUCCUUGGAACACCCCCUUGUGUUCUCCGUAAAACUGACGCACCCACUAUAACAAUUCAUGUGAAUAGGAGAAGGUCAUUUUUUUGUGUAGUCCUGGCACUAAUUUGCCCACUCUUUUGCAGGAUAUCUUAAAACGUGUAGUGUAUUUGAGGUUUAAAAAGGCUUCGGAAGUUCAUAAUUUCCACGUUGACAUUUCAGACUUGAUUUUCUCUUAUGAAGAAUAUAUCAACCCCUACAAAAAUGGCCAUUAAUUAUAAUCCACAUAAUAAUAUAGCAAACUGGCUCAAAUUAAGAUCUAAAUUUGUACCCAUAUCUAACCCAUUCUAAUGAUCCCUCAGCAAACUGAGUUUGAAUCAUGCUGAAAGUACAUGCUCUGACCCUCCCUUCUUUUUGAUGAUACAGACAAAGUUGUAGAACAGGUUCUGUAAUACUACAGAAUAGAGGAGUGGAGAGACCUAGGGUGUAGAGGUGCGGUACAAGACUUGAUUCUGUAAAGUUUGUGCCAUAUAAAAAACAGUAUGCACACAACAUCAAGCACUAGAUAAUAUUGUCCUCUAUGUUGCAGUAGAGCUGCAACUUUAUGUAAUACAUAUCCUAAGCAGAGGAUCGAUAAGGAGCUAACAGUUUGAUUUGUUUAUAAUACAUAUGCAUUUGCUAGAAAACCAUUUUCUAUUAGUAACAUUAUUGCAAGUCCUAAUAUUUUUUUAUACAGUAUCCACCUUCUAAAGUAAAUGACAUUGGGGCUGAAUUGACUUCCCGUCACGGAUGGACUGGGACAAGAAUUCAGCCCUGGCAUUUUAUCCGAUUAGACUGUCCUAGAGAUAUUAAUGACACUCAGGUGUGUCCAAUUUAUCAAAUCAAAUCAUACUUUUGUAAUGAAACAGCAGGGAGCAGGUUUCGAACCCUUGACCUUCGAGCCGGAGGUCCGGCGCGCUAUCGACUGUGCCGCAAAAGCAUGCUCGAGCGGCAGGGUCGAUUUCCGCGCUUAUAAACCCAGGGUCGUGCACCGAAGACAAGCACCGAAGACAAGAAGGGGGGUGUCAAUGUAAAUUGUCCCAAUUUUUAAGAAUUGCUCAGCAGUCUAAUGUCUUGGGGAUAGAAGCUGUUGAGGAGCCUUUUGGUACUAGACUUGGCGCUCCGGUACUGCUUGCCUUAGGGUACUGCUUGCCUUAGGGUAGCAGAGAAAACACUCUAUAACUUGGGUGACUGGAGUCUCUGAUGGUUUGGAGUUGUGCCUUGCCAUGCAGUCGAGGGUGAACAGGAAGUACAGGAGGGGACUGAGCAUGCACCCUUGGGGAGCUCCAGUGUUGAGGAUGAUCAGAGUGGCAGAUGUGUUGCAACCUACCCUCACCACCUGGAGGCAGCCCGUCAGGAAGUCCAGGAUCCAGUUGCAGAGGGAGGUGUUUAGUCCCAGGAUCCUUAGCUUAGUGACGAGCUUUGAGGGUACUAUGGUGUUGAUCGCUGAGCUGUAGUCAAUGAAUAGCAUUCUCACAUAAGUGUUCCUUUUCUCCAGGUGGGAAAGGGCAGUGUGGGGUGCAAUAGAGAUUGCAUCAUCUGUGGAUCUGUUUGGGCAGAAUGCAAAUUGGAGUGGGUCUAGGGUUUCUGGGAUAAUGGUGUUGAUGUGAGCCAUUACCAACCUUUCAAAGCACUUCAUGGCUACGGACGUGAGUGCCACGGAUCUGUAGUCAUUUAGGCAGGUUGCCUUUGUGUUCUUGGGCACAGGGACUAUGGUGGUCUGCUUGAAACAUGUUAGUAUUACAGACUCAAUCAGGGACAUGUUGAAAAUGUCAGUGAACACACCUGCCAGUUGGUCAGCACAUGCCCGGAGCACACGUCCUGGUAAUCUGUCUGGCCCCGCAUCCUUGUGUAUGUUGACCUGCUUAAAGGUCUUACUCAUGUCAGCCUCAGAGAGCCUGAUCACACAGUCGUCCAGAACAGCUGAUGCUCUCAUGCAUGCCUCACUGUUGCUUGCCUCGAAGCGAGCAUAGAAGUGAUUUAGCUCAUCUGGUUGGCUCAUGUCACUGGGCAGCUCACGGCUGUGCUUCCCUUUGUAGUCUGUAAUAGUUUGCAAGCCCUGCCACAUAAGACGGUGUAGUAUGAUUCGAUCUUAGCCCUGCAUUGACGCUUUGCCUGUUUGAUGGUUCGUCGCAGGGCAUAGCAGGAUUUCUUGUAAGCUUCCGCGUUAGAGUCCCGCACCUUGAAAGCGGCAGCUCUACCCUUUAGCUCAGUGCGAAUGUUGCCUGUAAUCCAUGGCUUCUGGUUGGGGUAUGUACAUACAGGCACUGUGGGGACGACAUCCUCAAUGCACUUACUGAUAAAGCCAGGGACUGAUGUGGUGUACUCCUCAAUGCCAUCGGAAGAAUCCCUGAACAUGUUCCAGUCUGUGAUAGCAAAACAGUCCUGUAGUUUAGCAUCUGAUUUAUCUGACCACUUUUUUAUAGACUGGUGCUUCCUGCUUUAAUUUUUGCUUGUAAGCAGGAAUCAGGAGGAUAGUGUUGUGGUUGGAUUUACCAAAUGGAGUGUGAGGGAGGGCUUUGUAUGUGUCUCUGUGUGUGGAGUACAGGUGAUCUAGAAUUAUUUUCCCUCUGGUUGCACAUUUAACAUGUUGAUAGAAAUUUGGAAGCACUGAUUUAAGUUUCCUUGCAUUAAAGUCUCCGGCCACUAGGAGUGCCGCCUCUGGGUGAGUGGUUUUCUUGUUUGCUUAUUUCCUUAUACAGCUGACUGAGUGCGGUCUUAGUGCCAGCAUCUGUCUGUGGUGGUAAAUAAACAGCCACGAAAAGUAUACCUGAAAAGUCUCUAGGCAAUUAUUGUGGCCUGCAAUCUAUCACAAUAUGCCUUACUUCAGGCAAGCAAAAUCUAGCGACUUCCUUAGAUUCGUUUACAAAGCUGUUGUUUACAAAUAUGCACAGACCACCCCACCUUGUCUUACCGGAGUGUGCUGUUCUAUCUUGCAAGUGCAGCAUAUAUCCAGCUACAGU
Oncorhynchus tshawytscha (Chinook salmon) is the source of this 4011-nucleotide long non-coding RNA. Lineage: Eukaryota; Metazoa; Chordata; Actinopteri; Salmoniformes; Salmonidae. The record is from Ensembl.